This 94-nucleotide transfer RNA is filed under the name Desulfobacteraceae bacterium. RNAcentral's name for it is "tRNA-Ser". It matches the Rfam family "tRNA". Rfam says of the family: Transfer RNA (tRNA) molecules are approximately 80 nucleotides in length. Their secondary structure includes four short double-helical elements and three loops (D, anti-codon, and T loops). The record is from RNAcentral. RNAcentral also lists the same sequence under 1 other name. Lineage: Bacteria; Pseudomonadati; Thermodesulfobacteriota; Desulfobacteria; Desulfobacterales; Desulfobacteraceae.
GGAGAGAUGUCCGAGCUGGCCGAAGGAGCGCGACUGGAAAUCGCGUGUACCAUCACAAGUGGUACCGAGGGUUCGAAUCCCUCUCUCUCCGCCA